This is a long non-coding RNA of Chenopodium quinoa (quinoa), 589 nucleotides long. RefSeq lists it as uncharacterized. The record is from RefSeq and is a predicted model, not a curated record. NCBI's taxonomy places the organism in Eukaryota, Viridiplantae, Streptophyta, Magnoliopsida, Caryophyllales, Amaranthaceae. The transcript has 4 exons.
UGUUACGGCCAAAAAAAACCGUGCCACUUAGUUUUUUUUAUUUUGUGAAAUAUUUCAAAACUCCCACGACUCCCACUAUACUUCUGCAAAUCCCUAACCUAUCACUACUGAAAAUAUGAAAUUGCCCCAAUUGUGCGCUCAUCAAUCUCCCUAAUCUCUCUGAAUAUCAUCCUCAAAUUUUUACUUGACGAACCAUAAACAUUUAAUUCGUUUUCUUUUUGCUGAAUUUUCCCUUUUAAUUUGCCCAAUUCGUCAAUUUUGUUUGAGAAUUUUAAUUGACCCAUACAAAUUCAAAAUUCUCAUUCUAAGAUCUAAUUUCAAUAUUCUCGAAAAAAUUCUUGUCAAAAAGAAAGAGAUCCAGAAAAGAGGCUACUUUCAGGAUGUUGAAGCUUCUCCCAGAGCUAACAAUGACACUAAUCGUAGAGAUUAGUUAUUGCGUUACCAAGGGUAUGCUUUGGCAACUUCAAAGUUGGAACAUGAAAGCAAUUUUAAAGCAUCAAUAUUUAGUCUUAUAAAAUAAAUCUUAUAUUGGCAUAGAUUUGGUUUUGGCAUUAAGUACAUUCUAGCUACUGAACGUUUUUUUUUUUUU